CGCGCAGGCGGUCGUGCAAGUCGCGUGUGAAAGCCCCCGGCUCAACUGGGGAGGGUCACGCGAUACUGCUCGACUCGAAGGCAGGAGAGGGAAGUGGAAUUCCCGGUGUAGUGGUGAAAUGCGUAGAUAUCGGGAGGAACACCAGUGGCGAAGGCGACUUCCUGGCCUGUUCUUGACGCUGAGGCGCGAAAGCUAGGGUAGCAAACG
This 207-nucleotide ribosomal RNA is filed under the name uncultured bacterium. Its description in RNAcentral is "partial 16S ribosomal RNA". It matches the Rfam family "Bacterial small subunit ribosomal RNA", at positions 568 to 774 of the family's 1533-position model. The record is from RNAcentral.